GUCAGGAUGAACGCUAGCUACAGGCUUAACACAUGCAAGUCGAGGGGCAGCAUUGGAGUAGCAAUACUCAGAUGGCGACCGGCGCACGGGUGAGUAACACGUAUCCAACCUGCCGCUUACUCGGGGAUAGCCUUUCGAAAGAAAGAUUAAUACCCGAUGGUAUAAAGAGUUCGCAUGUUCUCUUUAUUAAAGAAUUUCGGUAAGCGAUGGGGAUGCGUUCCAUUAGAUAGUUGGCGGGGUAACGGCCCACCAAGUCUACGAUGGAUAGGGGUUCUGAGAGGAAGGUCCCCCACAUUGGAACUGAGACACGGUCCAAACUCCUACGGGAGGCAGCAGUGAGGAAUAUUGGUCAAUGGACGAGAGUCUGAACCAGCCAAAAGUAGCGUGAAGGAUGACUGCCCUAUGGGUUGUAAACUUCUUUUAUAAGGGAAUAAAGUGAGGGACGUGUCCCUUUUUGUAUGUACCUUAUGAAUAAGGAUCGGCUAACUCCGUGCCAGCCGCGGC
Molecule: ribosomal RNA, 504 nt
Filed under: uncultured bacterium
Lineage: Bacteria
Description: bacterial SSU rRNA
Rfam family: Bacterial small subunit ribosomal RNA
Source: RNAcentral